Long non-coding RNA from Panonychus citri (citrus red mite), 2618 nucleotides. RefSeq lists it as uncharacterized. NCBI's taxonomy places the organism in Eukaryota, Metazoa, Arthropoda, Arachnida, Trombidiformes, Tetranychidae. The record is from RefSeq and is a predicted model, not a curated record. The transcript is spliced from 4 exons.
CUCAUCAUCAUCAUCUUCCAUCAUCAUCCUUGUUUAUCCAAUUUUCCUCCUUCGCUUUAACUGAUCAUAUGUUAACGAACCAAAGAUCAUCUCACUCAUUUGAUUCUCUCUCUUGAUUAUUUAUAUUCUUAUAAUUGAUUAAUUAAUUUUUCUCCUGUGAUUGUACGCGAAUGUCCACCUUAGAGUAUCAACAAUUUAUCUCCAACAAUUAAUCAACAACAACAACAAUUAAACAUUAAUUUAGUUCCCAAAACAAAACUAUUAUGUUGAGAAUCACAUGUAACCAAACAAACGGUUUUCCUGUUCAACUGUUUCCUUUUCCAGUGUUAACAUUGAUUCUUUCGGUCAAUUGUUUGGAGUUACGGUUCCAUGGAGAAUUGAUUGAUUUCUAUGGUUUGUCUAUAGUUUCUUUGUUUUUCUACCUCAAGUUUUAUCGUUUGGGAACAAGAUGGAUACCAUUUAUAGCCAAUGGAUGAUAACAACAUGUACAUAAUUUUCAUUCCAAUCAACUCUUGUCUUUUUCUGGCCUACUCAUUUUUCCUACACUUCGUCAUCUUUAUUUCUGUUUUCAUCUUUUCUUCCUCCGCAUCUUUUGGGAUCGAAAUUUUCUUUUUCUUCUAAAUUUAUCUUCUCUCUCUUGACAUCUCUCUCUCUCUACUCUCAUCUUUGUCUUUCCCUUGACACACACACACACACUUGGUUAUUAUAAACGUAGGAGAGAGAGAGAGAGGGAGAGGGAGAGAGAUGGUAAAGUCAGGAUAUUUUAGAUGAUGAUAAGAAAGAGAAAAGGAAAGAAGAUGAAAUGGAAAAAGAAAUAUGUGCAUCUCUCUUACAUCCUCAUCAUCAUCUUCUUAUGGAUCAUCAUCCUCGGGAUAAAGGGUCGCUUUGAAAUUUUAUCUUUUCCAUAGUUUUAUGUCGUUUCCAACAUCUUCACAAUCAAUAUCAUCAUCAUUGUAAAUUGUUCAUCUAUCCACUUACCUGUAGUAUCAAUAAUUUUGUUUUGUUGUUUCUUAAUCUGUACAAUAUAACCAAAGAUGAUUCUCUCUCUCUCUCUCUCUCUCUCUCAUCAUCAUCAUCAAUCCUCCACUUGAGUGGAAGAUACGAACAAAAAAUUGAUGAGAAUGAUGAUCUAAUGAUGAUAAAUAUGAUGAGAGAAAUUGAGACAAGACAAAGAUACACCAACUGGUUGAUUCUUUCAAUUGAUUAUGUUUGUGGUUUAUUGGUGAUUAUAUUUAAGGACAUGAUGAUGAUGAAGAGUUUACAGAAGAGAAACAAUAUUAAUGUAACACAUUGAUUAACACACUUGGAGAAUUAAACAAUUAGCUAAUUGCUUUUUUCUUCUCACAACUGUUAUCGCCAUGUUGACUACAUUCAAAGAGAGAAACAAAACAUCAUCAAACUCUUACUCAUAUUCUCUUUCUUUUUCUCUUUCUCCCUCAUUUUCUCAACAUUUUCCCUCUUUCUCUUCAUCGUCUCUUCUUGCCCUUUAUCUUCCUCUUUUUUUCAAAUUCAUUUUCAUUUCUUUCUCUCUCCCUUAUCCUCCAUGUUUUUCUGUUACAAUGUGUACUUUUUGUUUUUUUCUUUGUGUUCUUUUUAUUUCUAAUAAUCAGUUGAUCAAAUUAGAUUCUUACCUUAUAUUUAUUUAUUGGUUUUCUCUCUCUCUCUCUCUUCCAGUUAACUUUCUUCAUAAUUAUCUUCAUUUAUCAUCUUUAAUUUGUCUUCCUGGUUCUUUACCGUUUUGAUGAUAAAAUGGUAACAACGUGUUGAUGUCCUUCUAAUCCCCUUCUUUACCCAAUAAUCUACAUCAUCUUCAUUUGUAACCUUGUUUUUCUUAAUCGUCUUGAUCUUCCUCAUUAACAUGAUGUUCAUCUUGUUCAACAACGUGAACCAUUAUCAUAAUUUACUGGAAACAAGAGGAACAAAGUUCGAGUUGCAACGAAUCGCUGGUUCAGCAGAAAGAAAACCUUACACUUGAAAAUAUAAGAAUAAGAAGAAAAUAGAGAGAGAGAGAGAGGAUAAGGAGUUUGACGAAAGAAGAUGAAUUGGUGAUAGAGAAAAGGUAUCAUCAUCAGAGAGAGCUUUUCCUUUUUUCGAUUUUUUUUAAGUUCGCUUUUCGUUCCACUUAUAAACAGACAAAACGUUUACCUACAUCGUUCCUAUCUUCAUAUUCUGAUCAUCUUGUCUUCGUCAUCAUAACCUUCAACAUCAUCCUCAUCAUCAUCAUCAAUAUACUCUUAUAUUCCCAUCAAAUCUUCAAUCAUUAACAUUCAAAAACGCUUCUAGUUUAUUAGUUUUUCCUUUUGUUAAUCAAUUUUCUUUUUUAGUUUUCUAAUCUUUACUGUUACUUUUUCUCUGUUCACUUUUAGUUUUAAAUGUUUUUUAUUCUACGAUAUCAACUACACAUUCGCCUAUGUGACCUACUUAUCCGAGAGAAUUUGCAAAUUGUCUCUCAUCGUGGUGCAGAAAAAAAAGAGAGACAUCUUACCAGACAGCGUUGGAAUGUCCAUUCGAAAUAAUCUAAUACUGUCAGGUAAAGAUGUCUUAAAAAUACUGCGAAAAUCAACCUCCAACUGACCACAUCGAUAAUGGACAAAGAUGAAUCUUCUCAUUUCUUAAGG